Alligator mississippiensis (American alligator) is the source of this 1491-nucleotide long non-coding RNA. RefSeq lists it as uncharacterized. NCBI's taxonomy places the organism in Eukaryota, Metazoa, Chordata, Crocodylia, Alligatoridae. The transcript has 5 exons. The record is from RefSeq and is a predicted model, not a curated record.
CCAAGAGGGAAGGAGCUCUCCUAGAGGAAGCUAAGUGAAGAGGCUUGACUGCCCAUUUGGUUUCUGCUUGUGUAGCAGGUGCUCAGGCACAGAAUACUUGCCGUGCAGCACAAUGUCUGGAAAAGCCCUCCAAACCUGCCUGCCUGAGGUUGCAAAGAAGACAGCCGGGUCCACCUGAGAACAGGGAAUCCAGCAGAGCAAUGUAGGAACUGGGGCUAGUGAAGACCAGCCUCUGCAUCUCAGAAAGAAAGAUACAGAAGUGAGAAGAGAGUGUGUUAGUAAGAACUCCUGGAUUUACAAACCUAUUUGGAUUAAAGCAAACUAACAGUUAUCUAAACCCCACCAAUGAGCUGAAAUUGCUUCUAUCACACAUGGCUCUAGUGAUUGCGGCAAGAACAAGAUACUGCAGAUGCAUUUAAGAACUUGGACAUUUUUAAUAUAGCAUGCAAUCUCCUUUUACAAAACUUUACAUAUCCUUCAGCAAGAGUUUCCACAAUCAGCCAAUGGUUCCAGUCCACCACUAUGAAACAUGCUACUUCUGAGGAGAAAUCAGACAGGAAGCCACCCACUGGUCAGAAGGGCCUCCAAACACAGUUAUCUUAGAAUAUUAACUCAGCUUUUAUACAUCUCCUUAAACCAGUCAAACAGUUCAUGUAAUUGUCUGUUUACAUUCAAGCUAAUACUGCUCAAAUUUGAGCUCUUUAUUCCAUUACCUUGACUCCAACAGGACUACUUGUUACAGGUAACUAUUCAUCAGUAAGAGGAAGAGGUUAACACCCUCAUGCUAUGUACUUGCAUCAUUCUAAUUUCAAUACAAAAGAGUGGCUAAGUGUGCAACUUCCACUCUGGCACUUACUUGCAUGAGUAUGCCAAUCUUUUUGCUCACAGGAGCAAGUCUGCAGGAAUCUACGGGUCACACAGUUAAAUCCAAAUGAAGGUGCUUUAAUUUAUAUGUUUUUGCUACUGAAGACUGAGCUCUGGCUCUGCUUCCUGGGUUUUUUGAUUGACAGUUACUUUGUUGUAUAGAGGGAGCUAACACAUCUAAAAUCUCUUAAAGAAGAUCAACUGUAAUGUAAGAAACUGUUCAGCAAGGUCAAAUGUAUAGGUGUUUGGUAUUUCUUUUAAGAAAUGUGUCAUACAGCAAUGAAGUUUAUAGCACUGUAAAGGUCCAGGGUUUAGAAUAAAGGAAAAAUCAAAUCACUUUUAUAAUGAAGGAACACAGAGAACCACCCAAACCUAGAAUCAAAAUGCAUAAACUGAAUGCUUACAACAUUUACAAUCUCCUCAUGCUUUUGUUAUUUGAAUACAAUAGAUCACUAUCUAAAAAAACUGAUAAAAGCUAGCUUUUUCCAUGCAUAGUUGACCUGUUUUUGACAUUGUCCAGCGAUUUCUAGUUUUCCUCACAUUACAGCCAUAUUGUAAGCUCUGAGACACACACCCCAUUACUCUCAGAAUCACAAAGCAUGAUUAAUUGUGGGGACAAACAUCUGC